CGGCAGACGGGUGAGUAACGCGUGGGAAUCUACCCUUUUCUACGGAAUAACUCAGGGAAACUUGAGCUAAUACCGUAUACGCCCUUUUGGGGAAAGAUUUAUCGGAGAAGGAUGAGCCCGCGUUUGAUUAGCUAGUUGGUGGGGUAAAGGCCCACCAAGGCGACGAUCAAUAGCUGGUCUGAGAGGAUGAUCAGCCACAUUGGGACUGAGACACGGCCCAAACUCCUACGGGAGGCAGCAGUGGGGAAUAUUGGACAAUGGGCGCAAGCCUGAUCCAGCCAUGCCGCGUGAGUGAUGAAGGCCCUAGGGUUGUAAAGCUCUUUCAACGGUGAAGAUAAUGACGGUAACCGUAGAAGAAGCCCCGGCUAACUUCGUGCCAGCAGCCGCGGUUAU
This 393-nucleotide ribosomal RNA is filed under the name uncultured bacterium. RNAcentral describes it as "bacterial SSU rRNA". It matches the Rfam family "Bacterial small subunit ribosomal RNA", at positions 96 to 524 of the family's 1533-position model. The record is from RNAcentral.